AUCACUUCUCGGCCUUUUGGCCAAGAUCAAGUGUAGUAUCUAAUUAAAAAUGCCUCUAUAUUACUCAUGAGUCCUAAGUCUGUAUAUUUAACUUCU
This is a small nuclear RNA of Heterocephalus glaber (naked mole-rat), 96 nucleotides long. Its record names the gene U2. It matches the Rfam family "U2 spliceosomal RNA". Rfam says of the family: U2 is a small nuclear RNA (snRNA) component of the spliceosome (involved in pre-mRNA splicing). Complementary binding between U2 snRNA (in an area lying towards the 5' end but 3' to hairpin I) and the branchpoint sequence (BPS) of the intron results the bulging out of an unpaired adenosine, on the BPS, which initiates a nucleophilic attack at the intronic 5' splice site, thus starting the first of two transesterification reactions that mediate splicing. The record is from Ensembl. Lineage: Eukaryota; Metazoa; Chordata; Mammalia; Rodentia; Bathyergidae.